UGGAAAAGCAGAGCUGCCCUACC
RNAcentral lists this non-coding RNA (23 nucleotides) under Mus musculus (house mouse). The record is from RNAcentral. Lineage: Eukaryota; Metazoa; Chordata; Mammalia; Rodentia; Muridae.